UCCAGACUCCUACGGGAGGCAGCAGUGGGGGAUAUUGCACAAUGGGGGAAACCCUGAUGCAGCGACGCCGCGUGGGUGAAGAAGCGCCUCGGCGCGUAAAGCCCUGUCAGCAGGGAAGAAAAUGACGGUACCUGACUAAGAAGCCCCGGCUAACUACGUGCCAGCAGCCGCGGUAAUACGUAGGUGGCAAGCGUUGUCCGGAUUUACUGGGUGUAAAGGGCGUGUAGCCGGGCUGACAAGUCAGAUGUGAAAUUCCGGGGCUCAACCCCGGACCUGCAUUUGAAACUGUUGGUCUUGAGUAUCGGAGAGGCAGGCGGAAUUCCUAGUGUAGCGGUGAAAUGCGUAGAUAUUAGGAGGAACACCAGUGGCGAAGGCGGCCUGCUGGACGACAACUGACGGUGAGGCGCGAAAGCGUGGGUAGCGAACGGGAUUAGAUACCCCAGUAC
RNAcentral lists this ribosomal RNA (446 nucleotides) under uncultured bacterium. RNAcentral's name for it is "bacterial SSU rRNA". It matches the Rfam family "Bacterial small subunit ribosomal RNA", at positions 330 to 793 of the family's 1533-position model. The record is from RNAcentral.